This 622-nucleotide long non-coding RNA is filed under the name Oryctolagus cuniculus (rabbit). RNAcentral's name for it is "lncRNA (ENSOCUG00000038738.1)". Lineage: Eukaryota; Metazoa; Chordata; Mammalia; Lagomorpha; Leporidae. The record is from RNAcentral.
GGGAAGGUAGAAAAGGCAUGGGAAAGUCGAUUUAGGAGAUAAUGUAUUGCAUUUAAAGAACUUGAAUGCCAUUACUUUUCAUCACUUAACUUUUCAAAGAACACUUUCAGCUUCCUUAUUUGCAUGUUUCAUUGUUUUCCAGCCUUUACACUGUAUGCUUAAAAUGCAAAUGGAAUAAUAUAAGAAUAAUGAGAAGUAAUACUUGGAAGUGUUCUGAGAAAAUGCUGCAAAAAGGGUCUGGUUUCCAUCUGAUUGAAAGGAGCCACCGACACUCCUGAUAUUCCUGCUUGUGGGCUAGUUAACGUUGUGAGUACGUGUUCCCACUGGCAACCAAGAAGCUUCCUCCAGGAGGGACAUGGGUAUCACCCAUGGAAGACACCACAGAAGACAAAGCUUAAGGCAACCUGAUCCCCAACACCUAUCUCGGUCAAGGUCUUUGAUGGAUAAGAACGUUAGUGCUUCUGCAGUCUUCAACUCCUAAUCUUGUGCAUGGGAAUCUGAAACAGGAAAUCUGAAUUGUCAUCUGCUGAGCAUACACUGUGGUACAUUGGACACCAUACAAUCCAUUUUCACUGCAGCAAGUCUUUGCAGUAAGUAGUACUGAUUUUAUUAUGCAAGUAUG